GGGGAUGAACUUGGUUUCGACGGGAAUAUCAGAUGGUCGGGACAGCAUUCUGUGUUCUCAGCAGACACAUUAAAGAAGCUGAAAAGUCAAAAAUAAAUGACAACUAUAAUUACGCAAUGGCUGCUUAAUAAACGUUAACAGCCCGUCUUCUGCCGCUUCCGCCGCCUUUCCGGAGGGCAGCAAGGCGCUAAAAUGAAAGGAUAGCUGUAAUGUUUGGCUUGAGAUAUUACAGUGAAAUAAUAUCAAGUGUAGCUUUUAGCAACCUCGCUUACCAGUUAGUUAAAAGUGAAAUUAAAGUGUGAGCUAUGAAUGUAGAAAUCCUGAUGGUCAUGUUUUCGGACCCGGGUUCGACUCCCGGCAUCUCCACUC
RNAcentral lists this transfer-messenger RNA (369 nucleotides) under Ignavibacteria. RNAcentral describes it as "RPQH01 sp003820375 Standard tmRNA". It matches the Rfam family "transfer-messenger RNA". Rfam says of the family: Bacterial tmRNA, also known as 10Sa RNA or SsrA, is named for its dual tRNA and mRNA-like properties. Its role is to liberate the mRNA from a stalled ribosome. Lineage: Bacteria; Pseudomonadati; Ignavibacteriota. RNAcentral also lists the same sequence under 1 other name. The record is from RNAcentral.